AUGAUGAGGGAGAGGACCAUGGGUAACAGCUCGUCACAGCUGUACAAGAAGCUGCAGGAGCAACACAGCGAGAAAUGGCUGCAACGUGUCCUGCAGUACUUGACGGCUUGUGAGCCUUUCACAAGGCUUUCUCUCGUGCACCCCCCUGCCUUCGCUAAGCCUCCUGAGCUCCCUGACCUUCCCAAGCCUAAGUGGCUGUUGGCCGUCUAUGCCAGGGAUGUUCUUGCCAGACUUCAUUUGGUGAAGGCCAAAAUCACUUCCAUCUUUGGCUCUGUGCUCAAGAUGGACUCCACCAAAAAAGUCACCAAGAAGCUGUCUGGUGCUGCUGCAGGUACAGCUGCUUGGUGCACAAAUGUGGGGAACGAGCACGGUCAGGUUCUUGUCUCCGUUAUGACAGCCGGCGAGGGACAAGCACUUGACGCCAUGGCAGAUGGCCUAAUGAAGCGGUACAGGGAGGCAGGCGAGCCACAACCAAAAAUUCUUUACGUGGACAGAGACUGCUGCAGUCAGCAUGGCCCUUGCCGGACGAAGACCAUGUUUGCUGAGUGGGACGGGCUUCAAGUGUGCCUUGACAUUUGGCAUUUCAUGCGCCGGUUUGCCGCAGGUGUCACGACAGAAGCACACCCCCUCUAUGGCAUUUUCAUGGCACGCCUGUCCACAUGCCUUUUUGAGUGGGAUCCGGAGGACGUUGCUGCUCUUCGCCGUGCCAAGGAGGGUGAGCUGACGGCACAGAGGAUUGGCCACAUCUCGGAGGAGGCGGUGACCACUUGCAUUAGGCGGAGGGAGUUGGCACGGCACUGCAGGAGGAGGACCAGAGGGGUGGAGGAGACCACCAGACUGAUUGGGUCAUUGAUCAGUCUGUUCGACAGCGACAGUGGGAAGGACACUCUAGGCGUUCCUCUGCUGGACCACCAACGUAUCCAGCAAAUAUGGCAGGAGCAGGAGAAACACGUGGCCUGCAUCCAAGACCCAGAGGACUUCCAGCUCUACACAAAGACGGGCACCCUGAACAAAGGCGGUGUGGAGCUGUGCUGCUACAGAUGUGCCCGUGGCUCUACCUCGCUUGAGUCCUUCCACCUCCACUUGAACAGGUUUAUUCCAGGUAUGGCAUACUAG
This 1116-nucleotide long non-coding RNA is filed under the name Gadus morhua (Atlantic cod). Its description in RNAcentral is "lncRNA (ENSGMOG00000029347.1)". The record is from RNAcentral. Lineage: Eukaryota; Metazoa; Chordata; Actinopteri; Gadiformes; Gadidae.